This 347-nucleotide ribosomal RNA is filed under the name Salmonella enterica subsp. enterica. Its description in RNAcentral is "bacterial SSU rRNA". It matches the Rfam family "Bacterial small subunit ribosomal RNA", at positions 108 to 458 of the family's 1533-position model. Lineage: Bacteria; Pseudomonadati; Pseudomonadota; Gammaproteobacteria; Enterobacterales; Enterobacteriaceae. The record is from RNAcentral. RNAcentral also lists the same sequence under 3 other names.
GAGUAAUGUCUGGGAAACUGCCUGAUGGAGGGGGAUAACUACUGGAAACGGUGGCUAAUACCGCAUAACGUCGCAAGACCAAAGAGGGGGACCUUCGGGCCUCUUGCCAUCAGAUGUGCCCAGAUGGGAUUAGCUUGUUGGUGAGGUAACGGCUCACCAAGGCGACGAUCCCUAGCUGGUCUGAGAGGAUGACCAGCCACACUGGAACUGAGACACGGUCCAGACUCCUACGGGAGGCAGCAGUGGGGAAUAUUGCACAAUGGGCGCAAGCCUGAUGCAGCCAUGCCGCGUGUAUGAAGAAGGCCUUCGGGUUGUAAAGUACUUUCAGCGGGGAGGAAGGUGUUGUG